Molecule: long non-coding RNA, 876 nt
Filed under: Homo sapiens (human)
Lineage: Eukaryota; Metazoa; Chordata; Mammalia; Primates; Hominidae
Description: ZNF606 antisense RNA 1
Source: RNAcentral
GGCCGCGCCGCCUCGCCCUGCCUGGGCGGGGUUGGGACCUUUCUGGCACCUGCGUCGAAGCCGGCGGCAGGAUGGACUUUGUUGUCCCGGUCCCAGACCACCCUCCUCCACCGUCGCCUCCCACUGCAAAAAGGCCUGGAUAAGGAACCUAAUUCGAGCUACCCUUCUCUGUGAAGCUCGACGGCUGAGAACGUCAGGGCUCGUUCCCAAGUCUCUUUCCAGAGGCCAGGCUUUAUGGGAGCAUGGGUUACCAGCGACGCACCCUGUGAGGAUGCAGUGUCCAAGGCACCAUCUUGAACUCAUCAUCGCCAAAUAUGUGAGCACCUUGAUGUUGGACUUCCCAACCUCCAGACCCUGACAGGACUUCCACACCCAUGCUCCUCUCGGCACCUUUCACCCAGCCCAAGCAGCGGCGGCCCAGUGGUGGAAAAGGUGCCACGGCCAAACGGAUUGGAGACUCACCCCGCAUUCUAGGCCGGAGAAGCGGGCGGGCUUGGGAUGCCGGCAGGAGGCAAUGACUCUCCCCAGGCGCUGCAUCCUGGCUCCGGGGCACAAGCGCCUCUCCGCCCUGACGCUGAUGCUCGUCUGGCUGCCCGUUCUUUGGCAUCAAAAUACCAGACGAUGGUGGCGCACCCUGUGGCCUGGGCUGCCUCACCUCAUUCGGUCCCGCCUAGAAAGACCAGAGGACCAGAAAACCAGAAGCCUGUCAGAGCGACUAGAGGCUGGCUCCAGCCAACAGCCGCGCGCCUCAGCGUCCACGAGGGUUACCUGGGUAACGCGCCGCUUGGGCUCGGCGCCCAGCCGAUGACGUAACCCGCGCUUGCGUAGUGGCGCCGCCCUGAUGUGUAGUCUCCAGGCCGCCCCGAACACCAGCCC